AUAUUGUAGAUGAUCCGAGCCAAGAAUUCUGAGUAGUCAUAACGAGGGAUUCUUAUUGCGAUGCAACCAUCCUGGUCUGCAGUGCCUUUGGCCGGCGCAGCAGGACGUGCCGGGGAAAUGGAAAUCUUGCUGGCGCCAUGUCGCGUCCGGGACAGAAACAGUGUCUUGUGGAAAAUGGGAAAAAUGGCAAAAAAAAUAUGUGUGAAAUGUUCACGGGCCAAACAAUGGCACAGAGAAUACAAAAUUCUAGUUGUUUACGGGUAAGGGACUGGGAGUCAGGUGUCAUCCGUGCAGAGUCCUGUGUGGCACAUUGACAAGUUAAUUUUUGUUGUUCC
Molecule: long non-coding RNA, 335 nt
Filed under: Drosophila guanche
Lineage: Eukaryota; Metazoa; Arthropoda; Insecta; Diptera; Drosophilidae
Source: RNAcentral